This 507-nucleotide ribosomal RNA is filed under the name uncultured Glomus. RNAcentral describes it as "SSU rRNA". It matches the Rfam family "Eukaryotic small subunit ribosomal RNA", at positions 569 to 1078 of the family's 1831-position model. The record is from RNAcentral. Lineage: Eukaryota; Fungi; Glomeromycota; Glomeromycetes; Glomerales; Glomeraceae.
AGCAGCCGCGGUAAUUCCAGCUCCAAUAGCGUAUAUUAAAGUUGUUGCAGUUAAAAAGCUCGUAGUUGAAUUUCGGGACCAUCAUGUCGGUCGUGCCUCGGUACGUACUGGCAUUGUUGGUUUCUCCCUUCUGACGAACCAUGAUGUCAUUUAUUUGGUGUUGUGGGAAAUCAGGACUGUUACUUUGAAAAAAUUAGAGUGUUUAAAGCAGGCUCACGCUUGAAUACAUUAGCAUGGAAUAAUGAAAUAGGACGUUUGAUUCUAUUUUGUUGGUUUCUAGGAUCGACGUAAUGAUUAAUAGGGAUAGUUGGGGGCAUUAGUAUUCAAUUGUCAGAGGUGAAAUUCUUGGAUUUAUUGAAGACUAACUACUGCGAAAGCAUUUGCCAAGGAUGUUUUCAUUAAUCAAGGACGAAAGUUAGGGGAUCGAAGACGAUCAGAUACCGUCGUAGUCUUAACCAUAAACUAUGCCGACUAGGGAUCGGAUGAUGUUGAUUUUUUAAUGACUCA